RNAcentral lists this transfer RNA (58 nucleotides) under Ratufa bicolor melanopepla. Its description in RNAcentral is "tRNA-Ser". The record is from RNAcentral. Lineage: Eukaryota; Metazoa; Chordata; Mammalia; Rodentia; Sciuridae.
AGAUAGAACUGCAAGAGCUGCUAACUCAUGCUUCCGUGCCUACAACCACGGCUCUCUC